UCGAGAAUUUGAACGCAAGUUGCGCCCGAGGCCAGCCGGCCGAGGGCACGUCCGCCUGGGCGUCAAGCGUCGCGUCGCUCCGCGCCAGCCCUCCAUCCCACCCAGUGGGUGUGCCGGGCGAGGCUCGGACGUGCAGAGUGGCCCGUCGUGCCCGCCGGCGCG
Molecule: ribosomal RNA, 162 nt
Filed under: Bletia hamiltoniana
Lineage: Eukaryota; Viridiplantae; Streptophyta; Magnoliopsida; Asparagales; Orchidaceae
Description: Basiphyllaea hamiltoniana 5.8S ribosomal RNA
Source: RNAcentral